Molecule: ribosomal RNA, 429 nt
Filed under: Bacillota bacterium
Lineage: Bacteria; Bacillati; Bacillota
Description: Firmicutes bacterium partial 16S ribosomal RNA
Rfam family: Bacterial small subunit ribosomal RNA
Source: RNAcentral
UGGGGAAUUUUGGACAAUGGGGGCAACCCUGAUCCAGCAAUGCCGCGUGUGUGAAGAAGGCCUUCGGGUUGUAAAGCACUUUUGUCCGGGAAGAAAUCGCACCUGAUAAUACCGGGUGUGGAUGACGGUACCGGAAGAAUAAGGACCGGCUAACUACGUGCCAGCAGCCGCGGUAAUACGUAGGGUCCAAGCGUUAAUCGGAAUUACUGGGCGUAAAGCGUGCGCAGGCGGUUGUGCAAGACCGAUGUGAAAUCCCCGGGCUUAACCUGGGAAUUGCAUUGGUGACUGCACGGCUAGAGUGUGUCAGAGGGGGGUAGAAUUCCACGUGUAGCAGUGAAAUGCGUAGAGAUGUGGAGGAAUCCCGAUGGCGAAGGCAGCCCCCUGGGAUAACACUGACGCUCAUGCACGAAAGCGUGGGGAGCAAACAGG